UCCGUAGCUCAAUGGAUAGAGCAACUGCCUUCUAAGCAGUAGGUUGUUGGUUCGAUCCCAACCGG
This 65-nucleotide transfer RNA is filed under the name bovine gut metagenome. It matches the Rfam family "tRNA", at positions 5 to 66 of the family's 71-position model. From Rfam's summary of the family: Transfer RNA (tRNA) molecules are approximately 80 nucleotides in length. The record is from RNAcentral.